RNAcentral lists this ribosomal RNA (698 nucleotides) under uncultured bacterium. RNAcentral's name for it is "bacterial SSU rRNA". It matches the Rfam family "Bacterial small subunit ribosomal RNA", at positions 9 to 704 of the family's 1533-position model. The record is from RNAcentral.
GAGUUUGAUCCUGGCUCAGGACGAACGCUGGCGGCGUGCCUAACACAUGCAAGUCGAACGGAGAUAUUCGCUGAUGAAGUACUUCGGUAAUGAUUCUUGAAUAUCUUAGUGGCGGACGGGUGAGUAACGCGUGAGCAACCUGCCUUUCAGAGGGGGAUAACGUUCGGAAACGAACGCUAAUACCGCAUGAUAUUGUUGAGUCGCAUGACUUAAUAAUCAAAGGAGCAAUCCGCUGAAAGAUGGGCUCGCGUCCGAUUAGGUAGUUGGUGGGGCAACGGCCCACCAAGCCGACGAUCGGUAGCCGGACUGAGAGGUUGAACGGCCACAUUGGGACUGAGACACGGCCCAGACUCCUACGGGAGGCAGCAGUGAGGGAUAUUGGUNCAUGGGGGAAACCCUGAACCAGCAACGCCGCGUGAGGGAAGACGGUUUUCNGGAUUGUAGCCUCUGUCCUCUGUGAAGAUAAUGACGGUACCAGAGGAAGAAGCUCCGGCUUACUACGUGCCCACCGGCCCGGUAAUACGUAGGGAGCAAGCUUUGUCCGGAUUUACUGGGUGUAAAGGUGCCUAGGGGCUUUUCCAAUUCCAAUUGAAAUCCCGGGGCUUAACCCUUGAACUUGCUUUUAAACUGCAAACCUGGAUGGGAUAAAAGGUGGGGGAAUUCCGGGGUUACCGGGAAAAACCCAAAAAAUCCGGGGG